Molecule: ribosomal RNA, 1658 nt
Filed under: Folsomia candida
Lineage: Eukaryota; Metazoa; Arthropoda; Collembola; Entomobryomorpha; Isotomidae
Description: SSU rRNA
Rfam family: Eukaryotic small subunit ribosomal RNA
Source: RNAcentral
CCUGGUUGAUCCUGCCAGUAGUCAUAUGCUUGUCUCAAAGAUUAAGCCAUGCAUGUCUAAGUUCAAGCGAAAAUAAAGUGAAACCGCGAAUGGCUCAUUACAUCAGUUAUGGUUCCUUAGAUCGCACUUACUACUUGGAUAACUGUGGUAAUUCUAGAGCUAAUACAUGCGCUGAGCUCCAACCCUCGUGGAAGGAGCGCUUUUAUUAGAUCAAAGCCAAUCGGGCCUUCGGGUCCGUUACAUUGGUGACUCUGAAUAACUUUGCUGAUCGCACGGUCUCGUACCGGCGACGUAUCUUUCAAGUGUCUGCCUUAUCAACUGUCGAUGGUAGGUUAUGCGCCUACCAUGGUGGUAACGGGUAACGGGGAAUCAGGGUUCGAUUCCGGAGAGGGAGCCUGAGAAACGGCUACCACAUCCAAGGAAGGCAGCAGGCGCGCAAAUUACCCACUCCCAGCUCGGGGAGGUAGUGACGAAAAAUAACGAUACGGAACUCUUAUGAGGCUCCGUAAUCGGAAUGAGUACACUUUAAAUCCUUUAACGAGGAUCUAUUGGAGGGCAAGUCUGGUGCCAGCAGCCGCGGUAAUUCCAGCUCCAAUAGCGUAUAUUAUGUUGCUGCGGUUAAAAAGCUCGUAGUUGGAUCUCGGUUUCGGGCGAGUGGUGCACCUUGCGGUGUUUACUGUUUGCCCGGACGAUCUUGUUGGUUCGUUAUGGUUCUCUUAACCGAGUGCCAUAAGUGGCCAGCACGUUUACUUUGAAAAAAUGGAGUGCUCAAAGCAGGCGCUACAGCCUGAACAUUAGUGCAUGGAAUAAUGGAAUAGGAUCUCGGUUCUAUUUCGUUGGCUUUCGGAGUCGAGGUAAUGAUUAAUAGGACAGACGGGGCAUUCGUACUGCGACGUUAGAGGUGAAAUUCUUGGAUCGUCGCAAGACGAACUACUGCGAAAGCAUUUGCCAAGAAUGUUUCAUUAAUCAAGAACGAAAGUUAGAGGUUCGAAGGCGAUCAGAUACCGCCCUAGUUCUAACCAUAAACGAUGUCGACCGGCGAUCCGCUAUCGUUAACUGAAUGACUUAGCGGGCAGCCUCCGGGAAACCAGAGUAUUUGGAUUCCGGGGGAAGUAUGGUUGCAAAGCUGAAACUUAAAGGAAUUGACGGAAGGGCACCACCAGGAGUGGAGCCUGCGGCUUAAUUUGACUCAACACGGGAAUCUCCCAGCCCGGACACCGAAGGAUUGACAGAUUGAGAGCUCUUUCUUGAUUCGGUGGUGGUGGUGCAUGGCCGUUCUUAGUGGUGGAGCGAUUUGUCUGGUUAAUCCGAUAAACGAACGAGACUCUGGCUACUAACUAGACGUUAGAUCUCUAAGGGCAUCACAGACCUGUUAUUGCUCAAUCUCGUGCGGCUAAACGCCGCCCGUCCCUCUAAGAAGCUGCGAUAGACCCACAAAGGGAUCUAACGUCUAGUUAGUAGGCCAGAGUCUCGUUCGUUAUCGGAAUUAACCAGACAAAUCGCUCCACCAACUAAGAACGGCCAUGCACCACCACCCACCGAAUCAAGAAAGAGCUCUCAAUCUGUCAAUCCUUCCGGUGUCCGGGCCUGGUGAGAUUUCCCGUGUUGAGUCAAAUUAAGCCGCAGGCUCCACUCCUGGUGGUGCCCUUCCGUCAAUU